This is a long non-coding RNA of Lemur catta (Ring-tailed lemur), 235 nucleotides long. RefSeq lists it as uncharacterized. The transcript is spliced from 3 exons. Lineage: Eukaryota; Metazoa; Chordata; Mammalia; Primates; Lemuridae. The record is from RefSeq and is a predicted model, not a curated record.
UGUAAUGAGCAAUACUGCACUGAAAAAAAAAACCCUUAUGGCUCCACUGAUGUAUCUAUUUUCUUCAGAGAAAUUCUCCGUCUCAGAAUUGCAGGACCGUAAGCUCCUACGGAGUUAACAGAUGUACGCACGUCUGAGGCAGUCAUGCGGCAAGAGACUUUGGGGCCAAUCCUUUCUGUUUUGACAGUGUGUAAUCGAGUUGCUACUGUGUGCCAGGCCUGUGGAUGUAUUCCCC